GAGUUUGAUCAUGGCUCAGGAUGAACGCUGGCGGCGUGCCUAAUACAUGCAAGUCGAGCGAACAGACGAGGAGCUUGCUCCUCUGACGUUAGCGGCGGACGGGUGAGUAACACGUGGAUAACCUACCUAUAAGACUGGGAUAACUUCGGGAAACCGGAGCUAAUACCGGAUAAUAUAUUGAACCGCAUGGUUCAAUAGUGAAAGACGGUUUUGCUGUCACUUAUAGAUGGAUCCGCGCCGCAUUAGCUAGUUGGUAAGGUAACGGCUUACCAAGGCGACGAUGCGUAGCCGACCUGAGAGGGUGAUCGGCCACACUGGAACUGAGACACGGUCCAGACUCCUACGGGAGGCAGCAGUAGGGAAUCUUCCGCAAUGGGCGAAAGCCUGACGGAGCAACGCCGCGUGAGUGAUGAAGGUCUUCGGAUCGUAAAACUCUGUUAUUAGGGAAGAACAAAUGUGUAAGUAACUAUGCACGUCUUGACGGUACCUAAUCAGAAAGCCACGGCUAACUACGUGCCAGCAGCCGCGGUAAUACGUAGGUGGCAAGCGUUAUCCGGAAUUAUUGGGCGUAAAGCGCGCGUAGGCGGUUUUUUAAGUCUGAUGUGAAAGCCCACGGCUCAACCGUGGAGGGUCAUUGGAAACUGGAAAACUUGAGUGCAGAAGAGGAAAGUGGAAUUCCAUGUGUAGCGGUGAAAUGCGCAGAGAUAUGGAGGAACACCAGUGGCGAAGGCGACUUUCUGGUCUGUAACUGACGCUGAUGUGCGAAAGCGUGGGGAUCAAACAGGAUUAGAUACCCUGGUAGUCCACGCCGUAAACGAUGAGUGCUAAGUGUUAGGGGGUUUCCGCCCCUUAGUGCUGCAGCUAACGCAUUAAGCACUCCGCCUGGGGAGUACGACCGCAAGGUUGAAACUCAAAGGAAUUGACGGGGACCCGCACAAGCGGUGGAGCAUGUGGUUUAAUUCGAAGCAACGCGAAGAACCUUACCAAAUCUUGACAUCCUCUGACCCCUCUAGAGAUAGAGUUUUCCCCUUCGGGGGACAGAGUAACAGGUGGUGCAUGGUUGUCGUCAGCUCGUGUCGUGAGAUGUUGGGUUAAGUCCCGCAACGAGCGCAACCCUUAAGCUUAGUUGCCAUCAUUAAGUUGGGCACUCUAAGUUGACUGCCGGUGACAAACCGGAGGAAGGUGGGGAUGACGUCAAAUCAUCAUGCCCCUUAUGAUUUGGGCUACACACGUGCUACAAUGGACAAUACAAAGGGCAGCGAAACCGCGAGGUCAAGCAAAUCCCAUAAAGUUGUUCUCAGUUCGGAUUGUAGUCUGCAACUCGA
RNAcentral lists this ribosomal RNA (1325 nucleotides) under unidentified marine bacterioplankton. RNAcentral describes it as "bacterial SSU rRNA". It matches the Rfam family "Bacterial small subunit ribosomal RNA", at positions 9 to 1315 of the family's 1533-position model. The record is from RNAcentral.